RNAcentral lists this long non-coding RNA (241 nucleotides) under Glycine max (soybean). Its description in RNAcentral is "long non-coding RNA (GMAX_LNC004412)". The record is from RNAcentral. Lineage: Eukaryota; Viridiplantae; Streptophyta; Magnoliopsida; Fabales; Fabaceae.
AUCCAAUUCCAUUCUCUGUUAAUUUUUAUUGAGGUAUGUACUUUUAAGUUUUUCAGUCAUUAACUAAAAAUAUUUUUUCCAAAUUUAGGUACAAUGUAGACCCGAUGUCUUGGCUGUGGUGCAUCUGCUGGUUGCAUUUUUUAUUUACUUGUUGAUAUGUAAUGUAAGCUCUUAACCCUCACCCCACAUGCUAAGGCUCAGAAAUUGAGACUAUGUAAUGUAAGCUCUGAACCCGUGGGAG